UUAUUAAUUAUUGGUUGUGAUGUUUCAAUAGUAGUGCCUAACAUAAAUAUUGUACAAAGGAAUUUCAAUCCCCCCACCAAUAUCUAUUGGUUUGAUAUCACAGUAUCCGGUGGCGAAUUUGAACACUCCACUUCCUCCGAUCACAGGUAUUUCCCUUAGCCCAUCUGCACUGUCAACUCUUCCGGCGACCACUAAACUACUCCCAUUAAACUUUUCCUCAUUGAAAAUCAAGGUCAUCAGAACUGUAGCCGAAAAUGUCUCCUUCGAGGUCAAUGAAAAAAAUCCCUGGGAUCUACCGACAACAUCCGUAGUAUUUUCAAGGUCUAGAGUUAAUGGGUUGUCGAAAGUAUAAGUAAGACCAAAUUGCGUGCUAGAAGAGUUGGUUGAGGCGGCCUGAGCAAUCACGACUCCGGUUGG
This 417-nucleotide long non-coding RNA is filed under the name Zostera marina. Its description in RNAcentral is "long non-coding RNA (ZMAR_LNC000004)". The record is from RNAcentral. Lineage: Eukaryota; Viridiplantae; Streptophyta; Magnoliopsida; Alismatales; Zosteraceae.